CACACGGCUCCAUUUGGAACCACACACAGUCACUGUGACAUGCAUU
Molecule: non-coding RNA, 46 nt
Organism: Gallus gallus (chicken)
Lineage: Eukaryota; Metazoa; Chordata; Aves; Galliformes; Phasianidae
Source: Rfam